UUUAUAGGAGGAAAUGAAAGUUACAGUUUACCAUAUACCAUGCUUGCUUUUUAAGUUGAAAUGACUUAAUAAAGAUGACAUACAGCUCAAGUUCUGGGUAAAGGAAGGGAGCCCUCUCUCUUCACAGUACUAGCCUAACUGUGACCUAUAGGAUGGUGGAAGUAAGUCUGCAGGAAACAGAGAAGGGAAGGAUGUUGUAUAGCCUUGCAGUAUAUAUGAUAUGCGUGCUUUUUUCUUGUUUGUGUGUCUCUCAUUUUGUUUCUUCUCACAGAUAAAGAAGUUGUAUGGUGGUUAGCUCCUGCUCUUCUGUCUGCAGUUUCAGCGUGGAGAAUAGAAUAAAAAACUCCAAAUAUUAACUCUGUGAUAAGUCAAUUGUUUCUCACCGCACUGAUCUUCCAGCAAGACUUUCCACAGUGAAUUAGAAUUAAGUAGAGAUCCAGAAAAAAGGGACAUGGCAUCACACUAACAUUGCUGUUCAUUCGUGACAAAACUGUCCCGAGGGAAACUAUGCUAUUGGGCAUAUUCAUUGACUGGCUUCAAAGCAACUACUAUUACGUAUCAGUGAUACCAGCUGUCUCCAGAAAAUUUCUAAGGUAUUUUCUUGCUUUCACUGAUGGACAGGAGCACCUGCUUUGUUUCUGGAGGUGGCAGCUGCAGCCAAUAUCACCCCAACAGAACUGCUAAUGACAGGAUUUUCUACCAUUUGAGAGAGGCACCCAAAUGAAGAUCUUGUGAUAUCUGUUAAUGAAUACCUUCACCAGCUGACAAGGUGAGCUACUAAUGCAAUAUCACUCUAAUCUUCAUCUAGCACAUCUGGCUGAUCCAGGAAAAUUCAGUGUCACUCAGGGCUGAGCAUUAAGUGAUCAUCUUUGCCUGGACGCAUUCCUGUGCAAUCUAUCCUAUGUGAACCUGCUUUACCAGAUCAACUGGACUAGACGA
This is a long non-coding RNA of Columba livia (rock pigeon), 939 nucleotides long. RefSeq lists it as uncharacterized. The record is from RefSeq and is a predicted model, not a curated record. NCBI's taxonomy places the organism in Eukaryota, Metazoa, Chordata, Aves, Columbiformes, Columbidae. The transcript has 5 exons.